This 443-nucleotide unclassified non-coding RNA is filed under the name Hevea brasiliensis (rubber tree). Lineage: Eukaryota; Viridiplantae; Streptophyta; Magnoliopsida; Malpighiales; Euphorbiaceae. The record is from RNAcentral.
GGAUUACAGAGAUUCAAAGUGAAGUGAGCUUCUCUUUGUCCUCAUCCUGCACAGGUUAGAGAAUAUUAAUUGGAUGCGGGACGGAUUAAAUCAGGUUCGAAAACAAUUACUAUCUCUAUCUUCAAAUAGAAUUAUAAGAAUAAAUAUUAAAUGGAAGCUUACUUACAUUCAAAUAGGAAUAAAGUUUUUACGCUUGUUAAAUUUAAAUAAACCAUAUAAUAGGACUACAUGCACGUGAAUAUUUAGGAUAAAAGUAUUAUGCAUCUAUAGAAAUGGGACUUAAUAAUAAAACUCUAAAAAGGAAAUCUAAAUAACAGAGAAAAAUUCUCUAACAUAAAAGAAAAAUAUUAAAAUAAAAGGAAAUUAUAUAUUAAGGUAGGAGUUAAUAGAUUUAGGACUUUUAUUUCAAUAGAAAUUCUUAAAUAUUUGACAACUUAAAUAAU